This is a non-coding RNA of Myodes glareolus (Bank vole), 720 nucleotides long. The record is from RefSeq and is a predicted model, not a curated record. Lineage: Eukaryota; Metazoa; Chordata; Mammalia; Rodentia; Cricetidae.
AAUUCCCGGAGUCAGGUGACCUGGCCCGGGCACUGCUCCCCGGACCUGCGGGAGGUGCUCUUGGACCGCCCACGCCCGGUCCCGGGGCGAGUCCAGGACGUCCACGUUCAGUUUUGAUUUCUGCGGAUCACGGGAUCCUUCUGCGUGAAUCUGUCUCACACCUUAACUUGAAGUUAGUGGGAACCACGGUAUGCCUGUCCCGCCGCUGGGGAAGAGAUGAGGUCCCGAAAAGUACUCGUUCCUGGCCUUUUAUAAGAAAACCACCUUCUUGUUUUUACGGUAAAGAAUUCUCUAAUCAUUCUCUUGUCGCGCCACUACGUUGUAAACUCCAGAGUGUGGUCAUCUAGCACCUAGUAGGACUUCAAGAAUGAAAUGCAGUGAUUGGUGUUUGCCUACCCGAGGAUCUCCAUCUUUAUCCUUGCUUCCUGGCCAUGAAGCAAGCAGGGUGACUGUGCCAUGAGCGCUGGCCAUCAUGCCACACUUUGCCACAAGCCCACGAACGCCGUGACCAGGCAUUGUGGCCUGCAGUCGCUGUACCUGUGAAUUGAAAUAAGACUUUCAGCCAAGAGCAACUGCACGUGCCAGUAAUCUCAGCUCUUGGCAGGAGAAUCAGGAGUACAAAGUCAUCUUUAUCUUCAUGAUGAAUUCAAGGCCAGAUCGGGCUACACGAGACCUCAUCUCAAAUGUCCAAAUUAAUUAAUUAAAGCUUAUCUUUUAAUA